Molecule: long non-coding RNA, 1135 nt
Organism: Triticum dicoccoides
Lineage: Eukaryota; Viridiplantae; Streptophyta; Magnoliopsida; Poales; Poaceae
Exons: 3
Source: RefSeq, a predicted model, not a curated record
GCGCCAUGUAUAUAUGACUUGAUUGCAAUUUACUUUUUGGUUUUAGGUAUGUGCCUGCUAAUUUCUUGAGUGAGCUCUUCCUUCAAAAUGGUGCAAAUUUCUUCUGUUUUGGCCGUCGCUUUUAUCUACAGUUAGGUGCAGUAGAGCUCCUGGUAGAUUAAUUCAGAGCGAAUUUGGGUGUUGUUGAUGCAGUGCGGCAGGCCUGUUUGCGCAGUCCAGCACUCUUUCUUGGGGAUGUUCUUCUGGUGAACCUCUUUUUUCCUAAAAAUUAAUGCAGUACAUUAUCAUCGACUAUGCAGUUGAGAUAUGGCCGUGCAGCUCGGAGAACCAUCUCUUUCCAUUGGUCGGUGGACCAUGGCCGUGCAGCUCGGAGAUGCUCGCCAUGUGGUUCCGGACUUGUGUGUGUGCAGUCGAGAGAGCGCCAUCUCCAUCUCUUCCCGUGUGGUCCGUCAACCAUGGUUGUGCAGCUCGCAGACGCUCGUCGUUCGGUUCAGGGCUCAUGCGUGUGCAGUCCUGCGAGGGCCAUCUCUUCCCUUGCUCGUAAGGUUCUUUUGAUUCUGUUCUGCUAAUUGAGAUUUUGUUUUUUCGGUUGGUUUUGCUGGUGACAGGGGUUCUGGAGGUACCUUCUGAAGAAGAACCUUGAUGCCCGGUGGCUGCAAGGGUUCCGUUGCGCCAUGUUUGGGAUCGGCGAUUCAGGCUACAAGAGAUUGCUGCAAAGAAGCUCCGUACAAGGCUUUCACAGCUUGGUGCAAAAUCGAUCAUAGUGAUUGGAUUGGGAGAUGACCAAGACUCUUCAGGAUAUGAAAAAGCUCUAGGUCCUUGGCUGCUGUCUUUCUGGAAAUCACUGAAUCGAAAAAAUCCGUCGCUUUUACCAAGAAUUCAGGCUCGUCCGCAGGCACUCGGACGAGCGUCCAAGUACUCCGAUGAAUGUCCCGUGCACAUCUGCGCCUCUACCACAAACAUUCGGAAAAAAGAGGAUUCCCCUAGUGUGGAAAAUAGAUAGCUCUGGAAUCUACUCCUCACAAUGGUUAUAUGCUGCUUUCAACUUCUCUGUGUAGUGAGUUGUAUUUUGUGUGUGGAUGAUUGUAACAUGGAGACAGAAGAAAAAAGAAAGGGAUGCAUUUUUGUUACGCUG